RNAcentral lists this unclassified non-coding RNA (485 nucleotides) under Hevea brasiliensis (rubber tree). Lineage: Eukaryota; Viridiplantae; Streptophyta; Magnoliopsida; Malpighiales; Euphorbiaceae. The record is from RNAcentral.
GAAAGCAUGUCGAAAAGAUCAGUAGCAGUCUCAACUUUAGGAGGAUCAGCAAUUGCUGUGACCUGCUUUGCAGAUUCAGUGACUGCAAUUGGUUCUGUCGUCUGACUUGUUUGCUCUGGCCCUCUUGGAGGCAGAGGUAUACUGAAUCUAGCCGCAGGUAAGUCUUGCUUUGUGCUAGGGCGUUGUAGGCUUACCCUCUCGACAGAUGACCCACCGGAGUUACUAGCAUGCUCAAACCCACUUCUGUCAGAAUGUUUUUGUUGUUUCUCUGUGGCCCUUCUUUCUUGAAUCCUGGAAGUUGAUUUUUCUGUCUCCUUAGGGAUCCACCUCUUAUCUUCAUACUUUGCACGGAUGAAAUUUUCAAUAGCAACUCUAUCAUAAUUUGUAGGAACCUGUGCUUCCCAAUAACUAUUUGCCUUCUCGUUUCCCAUUGAUUGAAUAAAGGCAACUUGUUCAGGAAGCCAUGUAUCUAGUGUAGCUGAUCG